Long non-coding RNA from Perca fluviatilis (European perch), 308 nucleotides. RefSeq lists it as uncharacterized. The transcript is spliced from 3 exons. The record is from RefSeq and is a predicted model, not a curated record. Lineage: Eukaryota; Metazoa; Chordata; Actinopteri; Perciformes; Percidae.
AAACUUUGUUUUGGAAGAAACAAAGCUCUUAUUGUGAAAGUCUGCUUCCUGACAGCUGGAGCUGUGACGCAUCAGGAAACAACUCACAUGAGUUGUUUCCUGUCGACAUUUUGGACUGUUUGAGGAAACUCCCUUCCUGCCUGCUUCCUGACAGGUGGAGCUGGGACUCAUUCCAGGAAACAGCUCACCUGUGUCAGAGAUUUCUCUCCAGGUGGAGAGCGACCCUCUUCUUCAUCAACUCUUCUUCAUCAACUCUUUGGACUGUUUGAAGAAACUAAAACAAACGGUCGUCUCCAUCAGAGUAAAGU